CCCUCAGCUUCCUUGAUCCACGCUUCGUUCCUCCUGUCCCCUACCAAAAUUCUGAUUUAUCCAGCAGGGGGAUUUUCAGCUUGGGGUUGUGGACCUCCCAAUGGGUCUAUUGGCAGGCUUCAGAGGGUCUGUGAACUUGGAUGGAAAAAAAUAUCCUUAUUUUCAUGAACUUUUCACUGAAAUUUAGUCCCUUUAUUUGUUAGGAAGAGAACCUGAAGUCUGAAUGCUUGACUACCACAAGUUUUAUAUUUGCUUUGGAUCCCAGAUCAGUAAUUGGCAAAGGACCCUGGAAGUCAUCCGGUCUAAUUCCCUCAUUUUAUGGAUGAGGGAAAUGAUUUGCUCAAGGUCACCAAGAUAGGAAGCAUCCGAGAUGGGAUUUGAACUCUGGUCUUUUGACUCUAGAACAACAUUUUAGAGAUCUUGUGAGGAAAAGCCAAGACAAGCAAUUCAUUGAUUGCAAGUGCCAUGAAAAACAGCAGAGGAGGAAACGGGAGUGUAUUUCUUGGAAGUUUUCGCCUCCAAGAGGAAGCCUCACCUUUUCUCGAUUCACUUAAAGUGUUAGGUGAGAUCACCGGGCUGAACUCAUUCAGUUUCAUAAACCAGAGCAUCAACAAACAAAUUUUUUCUCCUACACGACCGUGGGCUUGUGGGUACCCGGCAUUCCUGGACCUCAGAGUCAUUGAAGUCCCAUAGCAAGACAAAAGUCAAGAUGACUGAAGAUGAUGGCCUGGGAUACAAUGAAUGACUUUGUUAUCUUUGAUGUUUGCCCAAGCUCUAAGGGCUCUACAGCACCUUCUUCAGCAACCUUCAUGGCCUUCGGAACAAAUAAUUCUCACCUGCCCUUUUCACAAUUUUUUCCCCGGUCUUGACUGAUCUUUAUUGAGCACUGUAGAUGUGUAUAUAUGAUGAAGAGAAGAAUAGAGAAGUAUGAUGCAUACAAAUAUAAAAUGUACUGGGGCCAUGUCGGUUUGAGAAUAGCCUGGUCUGUGGCACACAUGGAGCUCUUGGGGGAACCCCACACAGCAAGUGCAAAUGUCCCCAUCUGGACAGGUGCUUUCUUUCUCUUUCUGUUGAGAGGAGAAACAAGAGGAACAGAAAAAGACAUGGUGCAGAAGGAAUAUUGUUGAUAUGGUCCAUUAGUUCUUAGGGGCUGAUCCUGGGUCCUUGGUGGCAGGACCUGUAUCUUAUAGUAAGAUACUAAUUGCUAGGGUACCUUGGCAUUCGCAAGGACUGCUGGGGCAAUUGUAAAUCUUGAAAUCUCUCAGACUUGUAAAUGUUAAAAAUUUCCCCAUUGGGGAAUUCUUAAUUGGAACAAAUUCCCUACUGAGAAACAUUCCCCAUUUUGAUGUGAGAACUCGCCAGGAUCAGAAAUGGGAGGACCUCUACUCCAACUAUACUUAAGACUGCUUUAGGGGAGAAAACUCCUUGCUAUGGGAGGACCCCUACUCUACCCGUACUUAAGACUGCUUUAGGAGAGAAAACUCCUUGCUAAACAAUGAAAGUACUUGGACCCAUGCUUAUAUAAGGCAAGGAAUUCUUUGAGCCAGGCCUGUUUUUAGAAUUGAUACAAUGGGAUGCUAGGUACCUAAAAGGGUCGGGCAAGUUUUCUCUUGAUGAGAUUAGUUGACUCAGCUGUGUUUUCUCUAGUUCAGACUUACUGAGGAGAUUGGUCAACACAGCAGCAUUUUUUCUGAUUCAGACUUACUGAGGAGAUUGGUCGACUUAGCAGGAAUUUAGAUGGGCAGUCCUUUGGAAAGCGUCUACAGUGAUUGGUAGAUGUAGGGACUUAUGGGAGGUGACAUGGAAGAAAAACCCCUAUAUAAGAAAAAGCAGAAUCUCUUGAGAAUAUAUCCUUUUGGAGAAAUCCUUUUGGAGAAUCUCUGAUGAGGAUCGCUUGGGAAGAAUCUCUCGAGAGAGGCUCUGGAGAAGGGAAGCUCUUGGAGGACAAUCUCUAAGGAGGUCUCGCUGGAGCUCUCUUUGGUGAAGUCAGCUGAGAUGGAGCUGGCCUGGUGUCACUAGAAUCCUUAUUUAGGCAGACCUUGUGGUGAGUGUUAAAAGACUGACUGACUGAUUCUCUCUCUUAAGACUCAGGUCUAGGCCAUAUUGGCUUGAGGCCCUUCAUAAUUAUUCCUUUCCUACUCUUUCUCUCUUUCUCUAAUUCCUCAUUAUAUUGUUAAUUAAAAAUCUCUAUAAAACCCAGUUGACUUGGGUAUUUGAAUAAUUGGGAAUAUUUCCCUGGCGACCACCUUAUAUUUGAUUUAAAACCAAGACACUGUAGUGAAACAUAUUUUCUGCGGUCAAAUUUACUCACCCUCUCUUAUAUCUAUCACAAUUUAUAUCUUCCACUAUUUUAAUCACUACAGUUUAAGACCUCAACCAUUUUAAAUCUCACACAAUGGCUCCUGAUUCUGAAACUUGGUGGAGAGGCACAAUUUGGACAAUGCUCAUACUCAUCCAACUCUUCCAUGGCUAUGAAUUUAGCACCCCCAACAUGUGGCAAGCAUGAGGUCAGGAACACAAUCUCUUUUAUAUCCUUCAGAUGCUUGAGGUAGGCAUUCCCUCUUGUGCUACAAUGGAUUUGAGCUACCCCAACUUGUGUUAGCUCAUUUGCUAAUAUGGCUUUACCAGAGUAUGACCACUGCAUGUGCUACAAUUUCUUGGAACCAUAGAUAAGAGUUUACCUAAUACAUACAUUCAUGGUUAUUAUUAGGAAGAGAAUUGAAAGUAAGGCAAGAAGCAUCGUCUUGACUGUGUUCAAAUUUCAUGAUUUGGAAUAACUGAAUAAGUUCUCUGUAGUUGCUACAUUUAAUCCUGAUCACCUCACCUAAGGAGUUAAUAAAAUAAAAAAUAAAAUAUAUGGAAUGCUUUUU
RNAcentral lists this long non-coding RNA (2870 nucleotides) under Monodelphis domestica (gray short-tailed opossum). Its description in RNAcentral is "lncRNA (ENSMODG00000042622.1)". The record is from RNAcentral. Lineage: Eukaryota; Metazoa; Chordata; Mammalia; Didelphimorphia; Didelphidae.